AGAGUUUGAUCCUGGCUCAGAUUGAACGCUGGCGGCAUGCUUUACACAUGCAAGUCGAACGGCAGCGCGGGGCAACCUGGCGGCGAGUGGCGAACGGGUGAGUAAUACAUCGGAACGUACCCAGAAGUGGGGGAUAACGUAGCGAAAGUUAUGCUAAUACCGCAUACGUUCUACGGAAGAAAGUGGGGGAUCUUCGGACCUCAUGCUUUUGGAGCGGCCGAUGUCUGAUUAGCUAGUUGGUGAGGUAAAGGCUCACCAAGGCGACGAUCAGUAGCUGGUCUGAGAGGACGACCAGCCACACUGGGACUGAGACACGGCCCAGACUCCUACGGGAGGCAGCAGUGGGGAAUUUUGGACAAUGGGCGCAAGCCUGAUCCAGCAAUGCCGCGUGAGUGAAGAAGGCCUUCGGGUUGUAAAGCUCUUUUGCAGGGAAGAAACGGCUGGGGUUAAUACCUCCGGCUAAUGACGGUACCUGAAGAAUAAGCACCGGCUAACUACGUGCCAGCAGCCGCGGUAAUACGUAGGGUGCAAGCGUUAAUCGGAAUUACUGGGCGUAAAGCGUGCGCAGGCGGUUUUGUAAGUCUGACGUGAAAUCCCCGGGCUUAACCUGGGAAUUGCGUUGGAGACUGCAAGGCUGGAGUCUGGCAGAGGGGGGUAGAAUUCCACGUGUAGCAGUGAAAUGCGUAGAGAUGUGGAGGAACACCGAUGGCGAAGGCAGCCCCCUGGGUCAAGACUGACGCUCAUGCACGAAAGCGUGGGGAGCAACAGGAUAGAUACCCUGGUAGCCACGGCCUAAACGAUGCUACUAGUUGUCGGUCUUAAUUGACUUGGUACGCAGUUAACGCGUGAAUAGAACCGCUGGGAAGUACGUCCCAAGAUUAAAC
Molecule: ribosomal RNA, 884 nt
Filed under: uncultured bacterium
Lineage: Bacteria
Description: bacterial SSU rRNA
Rfam family: Bacterial small subunit ribosomal RNA
Source: RNAcentral